This 700-nucleotide ribosomal RNA is filed under the name Ectobacillus panaciterrae. Its description in RNAcentral is "bacterial SSU rRNA". It matches the Rfam family "Bacterial small subunit ribosomal RNA", at positions 54 to 749 of the family's 1533-position model. The record is from RNAcentral. Lineage: Bacteria; Bacillati; Bacillota; Bacilli; Caryophanales; Bacillaceae.
CAUGCAAGUCGAGCGAACCUCUUCGGAGGUUAGCGGCGGACGGGUGAGUAACACGUGGGUAACCUGCCUGUAAGACUGGGAUAACUUCGGGAAACCGAAGCUAAUACCGGAUAAGUUUUCAAACCGCAUGGUUUGAAAUGGAAAGAUGGUUUCGGCUAUCACUUACAGAUGGACCCGCGUCGCAUUAGCUAGUUGGUGAGGUAACGGCUCACCAAGGCGACGAUGCGUAGCCGACCUGAGAGGGUGAUCGGCCACACUGGGACUGAGACACGGCCCAGACUCCUACGGGAGGCAGCAGUAGGGAAUCUUCGGCAAUGGGCGAAAGCCUGACCGAGCAACGCCGCGUGAGUGAUGAAGGCCUUCGGGUCGUAAAACUCUGUUGUCAGGGAAGAACAAGUACGAGAGUAACUGCUCGUACCUUGACGGUACCUGAUUAGAAAGCCACGGCUAACUACGUGCCAGCAGCCGCGGUAAUACGUAGGUGGCGAGCGUUAUCCGGAAUUAUUGGGCGUAAAGCGCGCGCAGGCGGUCUUUUAAGUCUGAUGUGAAAGCCCACGGCUCAACCGUGGAGGGUCAUUGGAAACUGGGAGACUUGAGUGCAGAAGAGAAGAGCGGAAUUCCACGUGUAGCGGUGAAAUGCGUAGAGAUGUGGAGGAACACCAGUGGCGAAGGCGGCUCUUUGGUCUGUAACUGACGCUGA